RNAcentral lists this ribosomal RNA (422 nucleotides) under uncultured bacterium. Its description in RNAcentral is "bacterial SSU rRNA". It matches the Rfam family "Bacterial small subunit ribosomal RNA", at positions 495 to 917 of the family's 1533-position model. The record is from RNAcentral.
UAGUAUCAGCGUGUCAGCAGCCGCGGUAAUACGAAGGGGGCUAGCGUUGUUCGGAUUUACUGGGCGUAAAGCGCACGUAGGCGGAUUGUUAAGUGAGGGGUGAAAUCCCAGGGCUCAACCCUGGAACUGCCUUUCAUACUGGCAAUCUUGAGUCCGGAAGAGGUGAGUGGAACUCCUAGUGUAGAGGUGGAAUUCGUAGAUAUUAGGAAGAACACCAGUGGCGAAGGCGGCUCACUGGUCCGGUACUGACGCUGAGGUGCGAAAGCGUGGGGAGCAAGCAGGAUUAGAUACCCUGGUAGUCCACGCCGUAAACUAUGAGAGCUAGCCGUUGGAGGGUUUACCCUUCAGUGCGCAGCUAACGCAUUAAGCUCUCCGCCUGGGGAGUACGGUCGCAAGAUUAAAAACUCAAAUGAAUUGGCGGG